RNAcentral lists this ribosomal RNA (914 nucleotides) under Escherichia coli IS25. Its description in RNAcentral is "LSU rRNA". It matches the Rfam family "Bacterial large subunit ribosomal RNA", at positions 2037 to 2925 of the family's 2925-position model. Lineage: Bacteria; Pseudomonadati; Pseudomonadota; Gammaproteobacteria; Enterobacterales; Enterobacteriaceae. The record is from RNAcentral.
UGAAAUUGAACUCGCUGUGAAGAUGCAGUGUACCCGCGGCAAGACGGAAAGACCCCGUGAACCUUUACUAUAGCUUGACACUGAACAUUGAGCCUUGAUGUGUAGGAUAGGUGGGAGGCUUAGAAGUGUGGACGCCAGUCUGCAUGGAGCCGACCUUGAAAUACCACCCUUUAAUGUUUGAUGUUCUAACGUUGACCCGUAAUCCGGGUUGCGGACAGUGUCUGGUGGGUAGUUUGACUGGGGCGGUCUCCUCCUAAAGAGUAACGGAGGAGCACGAAGGUUGGCUAAUCCUGGUCGGACAUCAGGAGGUUAGUGCAAUGGCAUAAGCCAGCUUGACUGCGAGCGUGACGGCGCGAGCAGGUGCGAAAGCAGGUCAUAGUGAUCCGGUGGUUCUGAAUGGAAGGGCCAUCGCUCAACGGAUAAAAGGUACUCCGGGGAUAACAGGCUGAUACCGCCCAAGAGUUCAUAUCGACGGCGGUGUUUGGCACCUCGAUGUCGGCUCAUCACAUCCUGGGGCUGAAGUAGGUCCCAAGGGUAUGGCUGUUCGCCAUUUAAAGUGGUACGCGAGCUGGGUUUAGAACGUCGUGAGACAGUUCGGUCCCUAUCUGCCGUGGGCGCUGGAGAACUGAGGGGGGCUGCUCCUAGUACGAGAGGACCGGAGUGGACGCAUCACUGGUGUUCGGGUUGUCAUGCCAAUGGCACUGCCCGGUAGCUAAAUGCGGAAGAGAUAAGUGCUGAAAGCAUCUAAGCACGAAACUUGCCCCGAGAUGAGUUCUCCCUGACUCCUUGAGAGUCCUGAAGGAACGUUGAAGACGACGACGUUGAUAGGCCGGGUGUGUAAGCGCAGCGAUGCGUUGAGCUAACCGGUACUAAUGAACCGUGAGGCUUAACCUUACAACGCCGAAGGUGUUUUG